RNAcentral lists this long non-coding RNA (756 nucleotides) under Pandoravirus quercus. RNAcentral describes it as "hypothetical ncRNA". The record is from RNAcentral.
AUGACGCGGCUUGCGCCACGGGCACCAUCGUGACGGCACCCGAGACGCCGCCCGCCGGAAUGCCAACGUAGAGACCGGUCGGACCCCAACGCAUCCUGUAGGCACCGGCAGCCAGUUGGCGGCCCAGAGGCUGCGCCGGCUCGAUGGUCGUGUUGGGUGGGGCAUUGUGGCGCCUGCGCUCAUAAAUGACAAUGGCCACGACGAGCGCGAUCAACAGCAGCAGCGCGAUGCUGGCGAUGAUCCAGCCCCAAGGCACACGCGACGGCGAUGCGAGCGCGGCCACGGGCGUCGCCGCCGGCACGAGGACGGCCCCCGAGGCCGUGUCCACAUAGGCCGACAUGAAAGCGUCGGCGAUUUGCAAAGGAUGCUCGGCAAAAGAGCAGUGUCAAAAAUAGAGGCAGGGCAAGAAGGGACCGCACAGGGGCAGGAAAAGACGUAGAGCGCUGAUGGCACAGGCACUUUCCCUAUGGCGCGUCGGCACGCAUCGCCCGAGCGUCGGCCGGCGGCUGCCGUGACCUGCAGUGGCGCGGCGACGCCCCCGCCAACCGGCAACACGCACUCUUGCGGCCACCGUCGCCCAUGCGCGCCUGCUCUUGGAAACUGUGUGCGCGUGCGCACGCUCUCUCAAUGAUGACGCCCGCAAGUUGUGCCUCCCGCCCUCAAUCAGAGUUUGUUUGCCCCUCUUUUUUACCGCGCAAGUGCAUGCGCAAAGACCCAAAAGACACAAGGCGGCCCUGUACAGUGCACAUUGUUUCC